Molecule: long non-coding RNA, 1312 nt
Organism: Cornus florida
Lineage: Eukaryota; Viridiplantae; Streptophyta; Magnoliopsida; Cornales; Cornaceae
Exons: 2
Source: RefSeq, a predicted model, not a curated record
UUGCCCGUCAGAAAUUGCUUCUAUUUGUUUUGAUAUCGCUCGCGACUUACGACGGUUUCAAGCCACUCAAUUGACUCAUGUGCGUCGUCAGGGUAAUCGGGUGGCUCAUGCUUUGGCAGCUCUUUUGCGGUCUGGGAUUAUGUCCGAUAUGUGGUUGUCUUCUAUUCUUCCUUCUAUCGUCCCUUUUGUGGUGGCAGAGGGUGGGUCUUAGUAGGUUGUGGUUCUUUUGGUUUCUUGUGUUGUGGUUGUUUUUGCCUUAGACAAAAAAAAUAAAAAAUAAAAAAUAAAAAAAAUGUAAUGUUCCAUUCAGUCCCAUACAAGUCUUAUAUAAUACAAAUAUAUACCAAUUUUUUAAAAAAUAAAAAAGAAAAGAACAAUAUAAUUCAAAGUGUUAAACUUUGGUAAAAGAAAAUUAUCUAGUUAUGAUAAUAACACUAACUUUUUGUAGAAAAAUUUUAAAUUAUUCAUCUUUCUAAGUAUCUAGUUUAAUAUGGGGAGAUGCAAAACCCUUUUUAUCUCUAUUUAAGAAAUGCUGUCUCUUGACUCCAGACGAGCAACUUCGUCUCUCUUUCCCCAUCUCUCCCUUGGGCUCUCUUUCUCCCUCUAGGGUUCCCUUCCUAUCAUAUUCUUUUGACGGCUGUAUGUGAAAAAAGACCCAUAUGAGUCGAAGCUUUGAACUCAUGAUUCGGUAUUCGAUUUACAGUGCAAUCGGAUCUUGAUCUGUGCCUAACCCAGGUGAGAGAGUCCAUCAAUAUACCAUGAUUACUUCCCAAAAGUUACUUGUAUUACCAGAUCACCUUGCGACCAGUUUGAUCUUGGUUUCGGACAGGUCAAGGGUUCGAUCCGGUACUUUCUUGUCUUCAAGAGAAAUUACAGCUAGCUCAAAAGAUUAAUUUUUGGUCUAGUAACCCUAUUCAUUGCCAUAGUAUCUAUAAUGAUAGAUUUUGGAGCCAUACUAUACCUUAUUUUUGGACAGAAGGCAUCCUCACCUCCUUUUAUGCAAAAGAUUAACUCUGCUCUUCUCCAUAGUAGUGAUGACAGACUUUGGAGCCACACUUUACCUUGUUUUUGACCGAAGAAAGCAUGGAUUGUUGCUAGUAAGUGUUUUUACUAUUGCACCAACAUUGGGAUAUGAUCAGAUCUGCUUAUGGUGGUGGCAUUUUCGGCAAACAUUAGAUGAUCGUUUGCUCUUCUUCUAGACAAUAGAUAGAAGAAACAGUUUCUUUUAAUAUGUAUCAUAAUGUCAUGGCGCCCGUAACAUUGUUGUUGUGACUAUUGUUGCUACGGUAUGGAUUUAAGACUAUAUGCUUGA